This 253-nucleotide ribosomal RNA is filed under the name uncultured bacterium. Its description in RNAcentral is "partial 16S ribosomal RNA". It matches the Rfam family "Bacterial small subunit ribosomal RNA", at positions 524 to 776 of the family's 1533-position model. The record is from RNAcentral.
UACGUAGGGGGCUAGCGUUGUCCGGAUUUAUUGGGCGUAAAGAGCGUGUAGGCGGCCAGGUAGGUCUGCUGUGAAAACUCGAGGCUCAACCUCGAGACGUCGGCGGAAACCAUCUGGCUAGAGUCCGGAAGAGGAGAGUGGAAUUCCUGGUGUAGCGGUGAAAUGCGCAGAUAUCAGGAAGAACACCCGUGGCGAAGGCGGCUCUCUGGGCCGGUCCUGACGCUGAGACGCGAAGGCGUGGGGAGCGAACGGG